This 76-nucleotide transfer RNA is filed under the name Neisseria sp. HMSC06F02. RNAcentral describes it as "tRNA-Asn". It matches the Rfam family "tRNA". Rfam says of the family: Transfer RNA (tRNA) molecules are approximately 80 nucleotides in length. Their secondary structure includes four short double-helical elements and three loops (D, anti-codon, and T loops). Further hydrogen bonds mediate the characteristic L-shaped molecular structure. tRNAs have two regions of fundamental functional importance: the anti-codon, which is responsible for specific mRNA codon recognition, and the 3' end, to which the tRNAs corresponding amino acid is attached (by aminoacyl-tRNA synthetases). tRNAs cope with the degeneracy of the genetic code in two manners: having more than one tRNA (with a specific anti-codon) for a particular amino acid; and 'wobble' base-pairing, i.e. permitting non-standard base-pairing at the 3rd anti-codon position. Lineage: Bacteria; Pseudomonadati; Pseudomonadota; Betaproteobacteria; Neisseriales; Neisseriaceae. The record is from RNAcentral.
UCCCCGAUAGCUCAGUCGGUAGAGCGACGUACUGUUAAUCCGCAGGUCCCUGGUUCGAGCCCAGGUCGGGGAGCCA